CUCUCUCUAGAACGUCCAACUAGUGAGAGAAAGUGUGAAAACCAAAUUUUUGAAGGCUUUUAAAGUGAGAGGAUGAAAGAAUUCAAAGGUUCUAGUCAAAAAGGUUCAAAGGUGUGAAAACUAGAGCUAGAGAGAGAAAAUCACUCAAGCUUCAAAUCAAGCUUCCAUGAAGUUUUGAAGAAACGUGAGAGAGGAGAAGAAGAAAAAGAAGACCAGCUACUAGAAAUUCAAGAAGGUGCUAGAAAUUUCCAGAUAUUUAUAAGCCAACUUAUCCAUUCCCAUAAAAUUAUGAAAAUGCCCUUCCACCAAUUAACUUAUUCCCCUCUAAUAUUUGAUGCAAUCUUUUUGCUCUUUUAACACUAGGACAAGAUUCAUAAUGGUCUAAACAUACUCGGGUUCAUAAAAACAUAAAAUUUUAACCCGAGAUGAAAAUUGUUGACACUUUUAGUUUUCUUCGUGUUUUCAUCAGCACACAUCAUUUAUACUGUCUUAUGCCUAUUUAGGCCUUAAAAUAUCAUAAAACUUUCUUCUGGAAGCUUAUUAGAGAAAAUAAAGAAACUACCCCUAGCCUAUAUUAUUACAUAUAUACUUAGUUGCAAGCCUAUAGAAGUUGGGGUAUCACAUUCUCCCCCACUUAAGGAAAUUCGAUCCCCGAAUUUAAAUUCACUAUAAGGUAACGUACCUCUAAGUAUGAAAGGAUGGGGAUACUUUGUUUGCAUCUCUUCCUCGGCUUCCCACGUUACCUCCUCGCUAGUGUGAUUUCACCACAACACUUUCACUGAUGCUACUUCCUUUAAACGGAGCUUUUUAACUUGCCUAUCAAGGAUAGCUACCGGUUGCUCUUCAUAGGUUAGAUCAUCUUGCAACUGAAUGGUUUCAUACCGUAUAACAUGUGAUGGAUCUGGGUUGUACUUCCUAAGCAUGGACACAUGAAACACGGGAUGAAUAUUCGAAAGGUCUGGCGGUAAUGCCAAACGAUAUGCCACUGCUCCAACCUUUUCUAAGAUCUCAAAGGGUCUAAUGUACCGAGGACUUAACUUCCUUUUCUUGCCAAACCUCAUUACCCCUUUAGUUGGUGAAACUUUUAAAAAUACAUGACCUCCUACUUGGAACUCCAAGUCUCUCCGUCGGUUAUCAGCAUAUGACUUUUGUCUACUUUGUGCUGUUAACAUCCUCUGACGGAUCAUGCUUAUUUUCUCUGUUGCAUCCUACACCAACUCAGGCCCCAAAAGUUUCCUUUCUCCCACCUCUAGCCAUCCAAUGGGUGACCUACACCUCCGUCCAUAUAAUGCCUAAAAUGGUGCCAUUUGAAUGCUUGAUUGGAAACUGUUGUUGUAGGCAAAUUCCACUAAGGGUAGAUAUUGACCCCACCGGACCCCAAGGUCUAUCCCACAAGCCCUCAACAUAUCCUCCAAUGUUUGUAUGGUCCGUUCAGACUAUCCAUCAGUUUGAGGGUGGAAAGCUGUGCUGAAAUCCAACUUAGUACCCAAUGCUUCCUGCAACUUUCCCCAAAACCUACUAGUAAAUUGAGCUCCUCUGUCAGAUACUAUAGAAAUGGGAAUACCAUGUAGUCGUACUAUCUCAUCCACAUAAACUCGAGCGUAUUGGGCAGCCCCGUAAGUAGUCUUAAUCAGAAGAAAAUGAGUUGAAUUUGUUAACCGGUCUACUACUAUCCAAAUUGAAUCAUAUCCCCCACUAGUUCGAGGCAAACCCGUUACAAAAUCCAUGGCAAUAUGCUCCCACUUCCACUCGAGCACUAGUAAUGGCUGUAAUAGCCCUGCAAGCUUUUGAUGCUCAGCCUUAACCUACUGACAAACCAGGCACUUGGAGACAAACUCAGCUACAUCUCUCUUAAGUCCUUCCCACCAAUACACAUCUCUUAAAUCUUGAUACAUUUUUAUAGCCCCUGGAUGUACCACAUAAGUUGCCAUGUGAGCUUCCUCCAAUAUUUCUCUCCUCAACCCGUCACCAUCAGGCACAUAAAGUCUGGUUUCAUACCUCAACACUCCAUCUGUGCCUUUGGUAAACAUUUUUCCUUUCCUUCCCUGAGGAUCCUCUAAGGCCUUAACUGCAAAAUCAUCUUUACUUUGUGCUUCUUUGAUUCGGUCCAUUAAGAUAGGCCUUACUCUAAAAUGUGCUAGCAAUGCAUCUAUCUCCGCAGCUUCCAAAUGCACACCUAUGUCUCCCAAGCUAUGGAUCUCUCUAACCAAUGAUCUCCUAUCAGUAGAAAUAUGUGCCAAACUUCCCAUUGAUUUUCGACUCAAGGCAUCCGCCACUACAUUGGCCUUACCAAGAUGAUAAAGAAUAGUAUAAUCAUAAUCCUUUAGCAACUCCAUCCAUCUACGUUGCCGCAAGUUAAGAUCCUUCUGCUGAAAUAUAUACUUCAAGCUUUUGUGGUCCGUAUAUAUCUCACAAGUCUCACCAUACAAAUAAUGUCUCCAAAUUUUCAAGGCAAACACGAUUGCUGCCAUUUCCAAAUCGUGUGCAGGGUAAUUUUGCUCAUGCCUUUUAAGUUGCCUGGAUGCAUACGCAAUCACUUUCCCAUGUUGCAUUAAUACACAUCCUAAACCAACACCCGAUGCAUCACAAAACACAAUAUAACUGUCACGACCCAAUUUCCCGAGCCAUGACCGACGCAUGAGCUCAAUGAGCAUAGCUCACUAAGCCCAAGCAAGCCUAUCCAUUUACCUUUGCUUAACAAAUUUAUCAUAUCAUGCAUACACACACACCUUUUCCCGGGUGUGAACAUAGCCAAAACACAAUGGCAUUAUCGAUAAUAAUAUACAUGCACUAUACCAGUCAUGUAUUUAGCAAUUUACAUUGCAUACACAUAUUCACAUUGUUAGAUUGUUUUCACAAUACAAAAGGACCCAUGACUUCCAGCGGAGACAUUUACAAUAAAAGGGAUUACUAUCGAAUGCCAGACACAUACCCAGGAGAUGCACUACGGGGACUCCUCGAUCUAGGGUCCAACAGUCACCUGAUCUGAAAACAUGAAUUUUUAUAAAACGUGAGUACAAUACUCAGUGAGUGAACAAGAAGGGAACAAGCAUACCAUAAGGAAUGUUUAUCGAAAUCAUGAUGCAUUCAUUUUCUCAAAACCAUGCAAUUGUUUUAGCUCCUUUAAACCCCUCAUGUAAACCCCACAUGAGUAAAUCACUUUACAAAAAUCCAUGCUCAACUAUGGUACCAAAGAAAUGGGAAAUAUGGCAAAAACCCACAAGUUAGCAAAAUGGACAGAAAGUUUCUCGCUGUAGCGAACUUCAUUCUCGCUGCAGCGAGAACCAGAACAUCAAGGAAAAAGUCUCAUUUUUCCCUUAAAACAAGUCAUCCUGCUAAAAUAACAAUAGCAACAUGUAACACAUGUAAACUUCCAAAUUUCAACAAAACAAAUGCUUACAUAUUUGCAUUUACAACCAUAUACCCAUCAUCAACAUGCACACCAUCCCAUCAUCAUCAUCAUGCACAUCAUCCCAUCAUCAUCAUCUCAUAUGCAACGGCUUAUGCUAUUGUCACUAGGGGGUGGGAGAUCACGAAGCAUCCCCCCCUUCACUCGGCAAGAGGUGCACUUCACUCCGGAUCACGAAGCAACGGAGCAGUCCCUUCCCUCCUCCUCCAAGCUCUUGGGUGGAGAGUCAUACUUCGCCACAGAUCAUACCUAUCAAAGCACUCAUAGGGUGGAAGAUCACGAAGCAUCCAGCCCUAUAAGCUAUGGGGGCAACAACGGCUUAUGUGCACUCCCACUCACACAUAGCCGGGUCAGCAACGGCUUAUGUGCACUCCUACUCGCACAUAGUCGGGUCAGCAACGGCUUAUGUGCACUCCUACUCGCACAUAGCCGGGUUCAAAUCAACAUGCAAAGAAGCAUCCAAUGCAUAUCAUGCAUUUUAUCAUAUUGUGAUAACACAUAAACCAUUGUAUAGCACAUUUUCACAAUAUAAAAUCAUUUUACUAAAAGCUUGUUCCCAAGGUACAUUUUCUAAGACAAGUUGGAUAGAAUCUUUCAUAUUCCCCAAAACAAGUUUGAAAUGCAAGUCCACUCACCGGUAUCGAAAAUCCAGAUUCCGGGUGCACUCGGACUAAUAGCCCUCAGGCGCAAUUCCUUUGCCUUUUCCGGACGUCUCACCACCUUGACAAAUAACAAAGUCAAGGAAUUUACUAUAUUGUCCCUAAAUUGAUAUAAAUUAAUUUAAAUUACUAAUGCUUGAUAUGUAAAUGCAAAAAUAUGUCCGAUUACCGCUUAAUCACGGUAUCGAUUAAAUUCGACCGAUCACCCGAUUAAUCGGCGAUUGUGUCCAAAUCACCUCCAAAUUAAUUCAUUUCUCCUCUAAUACCUUAAUUUACCACAUACAUUUAAAUAAAGCCAAAUUCAGCAUUAGAACCCUCACAGUUCCUUAUAGAAAAAUUUGGUCAUUUGGUGCACUAGCAUCGAAUUUUUUUCUACAUAACCGUUUCACCUUAAUUCAUCAUUUUCCAUGCCAUUUUCCUUGAAAUAAAAACAAUCCCCCAUUGAUAUUCAGCCCUCAUGGUUCGGCCAACAAGGAACCCUAGAGAAAUUGAAUAUUUCUUUUGUGUUUUUGUUCAUAACCAUGCUUAACUAUCCCUAAACACUAACAUAGUCUAAAAUCAAAUUAUUCCAACAACAAUUCCUCUUCCAUACCCAUUUUUCAGAAUUGAAUUCAUCAUGAUAACUCAAUAUUCAACCAUGGAAAUCAAGAACAAAAGCAUGGGUAAGCUAGGUAUCAAGGAGAAUUAAAGAAAUUUUAACUUACCUAGCUUGUUUCCUUGAAUUCCAACACUUUCUCUUUGAUUUUUCCCACCUAGGGCUUGUUCUUCCUUGGUUUCUCUUCUCUUCUGGUUUGGCUGAUCACUAUGGGAGAAAUGGGCUGAUUUUUAUGCCUUUUAUAAAGAAAAUAAUGAAUGGAUGAGAUUUUGACACAUGUCACCAUUCCAUUGGUCCAUGUGUCAUACUUAGCCAUUAAGCAAUCUCUCUCCACCGCACAUUUCUCAUGUUUAUCCAUUUACAGGAUGAAUAAAAUUCCUUGGCCUUGACAAGUGCUGGGGUGAAAAAUUUACCGAUUUGCCCCCGGGGCAAAAAAAUUACGAUUUUUCCCCUAUACUCCGAAAUGUACCGGAAUCACAUUAUUUCUACUUUUCAACCUCAAAGAACACUAAUAUUGAUCAAUAUUAACCAAAUGGGGCAAAAAUUGUUUUAUAAAAAUUCUCGUUUAGUCCUCUAGUUGUAAAAUUACCAUUUUGCCCUUGUGCUCCAAAAAUAUCAGGAAUCACAAAUUUUCACUGCUAAACAUCAUUUUAUACUUAGAUAAUCAUAAUUAUAUUUCAUAUAAUUAUUCUUGGUCAAAUGUGAUCAAAUCUUGGCUAAAAAUCUCCAUUUUAUCAGCAAAUGGUAAAAUGAUCAUUUUGUCCCUAAUCGGUCAAUUUUCCUAAUGGACUCCAAACUGGACCUUGAACUCCGAAUCACUAUUCUAAGUCAUUCCAUGGGUUUCAAAAUUUUCAAAUUCCUCUCAGAAUUACUAUUUGAACUAGUUCAAGGCUCGAUUUAACUUAGUUGUACCACUCGGUACAAUACCGUCUUUUAAUCGAGCUUGACAGGGUCUCACAAUAACCCCCCGUGCCUUGCGGUAGGCUUAACACUGGAGCUGUAGUGAGACAUGCCUUAAGCUUCUCAAAGCUAUCCUCACAAGCAUCAGACCACUCAAAUUUUGUAUCCUUACAGCUUCGUUAGAGGGGCGACUAUUUUAGAGAAGUCCUUUACAAAGCGAAGAUAAUAGCCAACCAAACCCACAAAGCUUCUAAUCUCUGUAACUGAUGUUGGCCUUGGCCAUUUUUCCACUGCUUCAACUUUCUUUGAAUCAACUUGAACCCCAUCCUUAGAUACCACAUGCCCCAAAAAUGCAACACUUUCGAGCCAAAACUCACACUUGGAGAACUUGGCAUACAAUUGAUGUUCUUUCAAAAUUUGGAGCACAAUCUUAAGAUGCUGCUCAUGCUCCUCUCGGCUCUUUGAAUAUAUCAAGAUGUCAUCAACAAACACCACCACGAACUUAUCCAAAUAAGGCUUGAAUACUCGGUUCAUCAUAUCCAUAAAGGCUGCAGGAGCAUUCGUGAGCCCAAAUGACAUCACCAAGAACUCAUAGUGCCCAUAUCUUGUUCAAAAUGCGGUCUUGAGUAUAUCUUCAUUUCGGAUUCUCAACUGAUGGUACCCAGAUCGCAGAUCUAUCUUAGAGAAACAUUGUGCUCCUUGUAGUUGAUCAAAUAAAUCAUCUAUCCUUGGGAGAGGAUACUUAUUCUUCACCGUCACUUUAUUAAGCUGUCGAUAAUCAAUGCACAGCCUAAGUGAUCCAUCUUUCUUCUUCACAAAUAAUAUCGGUGCUCCCCAUGGGGAUACACUAGCUCGGAUGAAACCUUUAUCCAACAAAUCCUCCAACUGAUCCUCAAGCUCUUUAAGCUCUGCAGGUGCCAUUCUAUAUGGGGGUGUGGAUAUAGGUCUAGUGUCGGGAAUCAAAUCUAUACAAAACUCAAUCUCCUGUUCAGGAGGCAAACCUGGUAGCUCCUCAGGAAAUACAUCCACAAACUCCUUCACCACCGACACUUGACUUACAUCCCCAAUCUUUGCCUAAGUAUUCUUUACAACUGCCAAGUAACCUAUACAACCCUAUCGUAAUAAUCUUCUGGCAGACAUGACCGAUAUCAAAUUGGUUGGAGCAUUACUCCUAUCCCCCUGAAUACUAAAUGAUGGUUCACCGGGAAAAUCAAAUCUAACCAAUUUAUGAUAGCAAUCCACACUAGCAUGGCAGGGUGAUAACCAAUCCAUCCCCAAGAUCACAUCAAAGUCUAAGGUGUCUAACACAACUAGAUUCACCGAAGUGUCUUUGUCUUUGACUCAUACUACAUAAGACUUAUAUUCCCAUUCGGCCACAAAUAUCUCUUUUAAAGGAGUAGACACCACUAAUUGUUCCUCUCUCCUAACACGAUCUCUACCCAACCGAGAUGCAAAACAUGGAGAGAUAAAAGAAUGGGUCACACCAGGAUGAAAUAGUACCCGAGCAUUUAUAUUACAAACGAAGAGAAUACCUGAGACCACGGCAUUGGAUGUUUGAGCCUCCUGAUGUGUUUAAGCAAACACCCUUGCCUAGCCUCUACCAACAGAACUUUGAUGUCCGGACCCAGAUGGCCUGCCCUGAGAGGAAGUACCAGCACCUCUACCUCUCGAUCCACUAGCCUCCUGUCCAGAUGAGGCAGCAACUGAAGGAGUAGACGGAGCUGGCUGGGUGGAACCACGAGUAGAAUCUUGUGUUUGCUGAGCCCUCGGAUAAUCCCUCCUAAUAUGCCCAGGUUGACCACACCCGAAACAAGUUCUUGUGGUAAGGAAGCAUCGUCCACUAUGUCGUCUCCCACAAGUAUCACAAGGGUGGGUGACUUGACUACUUUGUCUAGAAUCUUGUCGCCUCCUAGAACUGAAGGUUCUCUGUCCCAUCCUAAUAUUAGCACCAGGCACGUCACUCCCCUGCUGAGGUAAUCGUGAGUCCCUUUGUGGACCCUGACGGCUAGAAGAUGAACCACCACUGCUGAAAUCUCUACGACCCUGAGAACUCUCUGUCCUGGCCCUCUUUGCUCUAUCCCUCGCAUCCCUACUCUCACUGGUCCUCAUCUCAAUGCGCUGAGCACAAUCUAUUGCUGCGGAAUAGGUAGUGAAAUCUCGAGAUGCCACAGCCCUAAAUAGUGGCUUUAUUAACCCAUCCACAAACCUCUGAAUCUUUAUCUCCUCAGUAGAAAUGAGGUAGGGAGCAUACCGAGACAACUGUGUGAACUUGAUGUCAUACUCCGACACCGUCAUGCUCGAAGUCUGUACCAAAGUCUCAAACUCUCUAGCUCUGGCAUUACGUACACUGAGUGGUAGGAACCAAUCUAAAAAGGCUGCACUAAACUCACUCCAUGCCAAUGGUGCUGCAUCCGUCGGUCUGCCUCUACACAAGGAGCUAUACCAUUCCUGCGCCACAUCCUCUAAUCAGAAAGUGGCUAACUCAACUGACCGAACACUGGAGCAUCCCAAGGCUUUACAUAUUUUCUCCAUCUUAUCCAAGAAAACCUGGGGUUUCUCUGAUGCAUCAGACCCUGAAAAUGAUAGAGGCUUGAGCUUAAGAAUAUCAGGAAGAGAAAUAUCUAUAUGUCCCCUCUCGACCUCAUGAUGUUGGUGAUCGGCCUGUCCUUGGGAGCUAGGAGAUUCCUGUACUGUAGGUCUCUCCUUUACUACCCUCUGUAUAUCCUCCAUACGGGUCGCCAUCAUUUCUACAACCCGGUGGACUCCCUGUAGGCUUGUCGCUAAAUCCUCAAUGGUAAUACCCCCAGCUGGGUGCCUAUCUACAUCACCUGAGGACUAUCCCUCCUCUCGCCUACUCACAGACGUAUCUGCCAUCACCGACCUAGUGGCCCUGCCACGUCGACCUCGACCCCUUCGGGUGGAUUCCCGUGGCCUACCUACCAUCUCAAUAGGAGCAUCUUGCUCCCCCAUCCGUCUUGAGGUGGCUCGUGUAGAAGGCGGCAUUCGUACCUAGACAAGAGUAAACACCUGUUAUUAAACACAUUUAUAAUCAUACUUAAGGAAAAAGGUGGUUUCUAAGAUAGGGAAUCUAUGCGGUCACUUGGUUGUAAAAUGUGUCGCGGUUCAUACUUCACAACUGGAGUGCCCACAUAAAGACCCGACUCUCCGCUGGAACAACAAAAGGAAGUUCUAGGACCUAGACAAACCUAGGGCUCUGAUACCAACUUUGUCACAACCCAAAUUCUGGAUCCACCAAAACCAAAAACUAACUUUUCUAAGGCUUAGUUAGAACCUACCACAACAACCAAGCUAACCUAAGCUUGAUCAACCCCUUAGAGUGUCUCUCACACUCUAAGUAAACAAAAAAUAGAGCAAAAAUGAAGUACAAUUGAUCACCUAGCUUGUCACGACCCAAAUUCCGGGCCAUGACCGGAGCAUGGGCCCAAUGGACAUAGUCCACUAAACCCAAGCAAGCCUAUCGAAUUAUUCUACUCAUCAUACCAUCAAGUAUUGUUAAGUCACAAAUUGUAACUUUAAACCAAAAUAGUAAUAGACAUUGCCAACUCGUACUAGCAUUACUCAUUUAAAAUAUACAUACAUUGCCUACAACAUGUAUCUUAAUAAUUUACAUCAAGUUUGUCUAUACAUCUAAAAAAGAAGACUCGAUUUCCAGCGGAGGGACUCGGAUGAAUGUAUAGCUACUGAAUGCCGAGACAUCUACCAAAAGAUGGACACAGGUCUACAAGGAUACCUCGUCCUAGUUACCGGCUGCCUCGUGAUCUGAAAACAUGAAUUUGAAAUGGUGAGUAUAAACUCAGUGAGUGAACAAGGAAGGGAACAAGCAACAACAAAGGAAAAUUUAAAAUCAUGAUGCACUAGUUUCAAAACAAUGCAAUUUGGUUCAUUCCUAAUAAAACCCCUUAUUGAGCCCUUAAGUGAUUAAUCAUUUGAAAUUCAUGAACCCAUACAUAGCGAAUCAUUUGAAGAAUGAAAGCUUCAAUAUUGCACAAGUAAGUCAUAUACAACAACGAAUCUUUGCUGCAGCGAAAACGCAGUCUCGCUGCAGCGAGAGUGAAUUUUUUGUUUCAGCGACGUUGGAAUUUAGUUAUUAACCGAACAAGGGUUUCUCAACUGGCCGAGGGUUUCUCACUAAACCUCCUCAUUUUUAAACUUAACUCUUUUAAUCCUUAAUGUUGGAAGUCCAUGCUCCCAAAUGGUAGCAAAGAAGUGAAAGAUAGGACAGCAAUUGGACAAGAUAAGAAACCAAAACAGAAAGUUUUUCGCUGCAGCGAGAUUCAAUCUCGCUGCAGCGAAAUUUCUACCCAGAAACAGAAUGUUUCUCGCUGCAGGGACAUUGCAACCCAAAAAAAACAGAAAGUUUCUCGCUGCAGCGAGAAGCUACAGUUUCAUUCUCACUGCAGCGAAAAUGCUUCCUCGCUGCAGCGAGUUUCAGGCCAGUGUACCCCUCCAAACCCGAGAGUUUCUCACUGUAGCGAAAUACAGGGCAUCAAUGCAAACUUUACCUUUCUCCCAAAGGAAAAACCACCUUGCCAAAAGGUCCAAACCAACAUGAAAACACAUAACAAUUUCUCAAGGUUUAACAUGUCAAGUUUCACAUGCAUUACAACCAUAACCCAUUAUCCAUCAAUUUCCUAUAACACANAAACACAUAACAAUUUCUCAAGGUUUAACAUGUCAAGUUUCACAUGCAUUACAACCAUAACCCAUUAUCCAUCAAUUUCCUAUAACACACAUAUUUAUAUAUAUAUAUAUAUAUACAUAUAUACCCAUCAUCAUCAUCACACCAUCCCAUCAUCAUCAUCACCAGCUCAUGCGCACUCCCUACUUGCACAUGGCUGGGUCAUCACCGGGUUAUGCACACUCCCUACUCGCACAUAACCGAGUCAUCCUCGGCUUAUGCGCACUCCUUACUCGCACAUAGCUAAGUCAAUAUAAUUACACAACAUUAUACUCAAGCAUAUAUCUAUAUCAACAUAAUGCAGCCACAUAGAAAUCCAUAAUAAUCACAUUUCAUAACAUAAACCUUUUCUCAAAAACUUGUUCCCAAGGCAUUCAUUUUCAUGAAAAAUUGUAUAAAAUCAUUCAAACACUUUGUCAAAUCCAUCAUAUUUCCAAAAUCAGUUUUGAAGGUAGUCCACUCACCAAUUGAUUGUAGCACUUUUAAUUGACUCAAAUUCCCCUAAUGAUCCAAUUGGAAUGAUGGUGCUUCCUUAAAAACCUAAGAUCACAUUAACAUAAACAAUAGAUUUAUUUACACACUAUGAACUCUAAAAGCUAUCUCUUAGCUAGUUUUCAAUUGCCACUUUAAAUGGCUAUCUAUGUUCACUAUCUUAAACACUAAAAAGUAAUGAACAUACUAAACAAUAAAACAGCUCAUAAAUCACAAUUACUAGCUACUUUCUGCAGCCAAAAAUCAAACUUGGUGCAUCACUCACCCUAGGGUUCCUUUGUAGUCAAAUUCUCUUCUAAUUACUUUUAAAUAAAUGGUGUAAUUCUCUCUUUUUCUCUCUCUAAAAUGUCCAACUAGUGAGAGAAAGUGUGAAAACCAGAUUUUUGAAGGCUUUUAAAGUGAGAGGAUGAAAGAAUUCAAAGGUUCUAGUCAAAAGGGUUCAAAGGUGUGAAAACUAGAGCUAGAGAGAGAAAAUCACUCAAGCUUCAAAUCAAGCUUCCAUGAAGUUUUGAAGAAACGUGAGAGAGGAGAAGAAGAAGAAGAAGACCAGCUGCUGGAAAUUCAAGAAAGUGCUAGAAAUUU
Molecule: long non-coding RNA, 11336 nt
Filed under: Theobroma cacao (cacao)
Lineage: Eukaryota; Viridiplantae; Streptophyta; Magnoliopsida; Malvales; Malvaceae
Description: long non-coding RNA (TCAC_LNC001754)
Source: RNAcentral